Malania oleifera is the source of this 106-nucleotide small nucleolar RNA. The record is from RefSeq and is a predicted model, not a curated record. Lineage: Eukaryota; Viridiplantae; Streptophyta; Magnoliopsida; Santalales; Ximeniaceae.
AAUUCGUGAUGUGGACAUAUAUUCGUUAGAUCCUUGAACCUCUCCCAACAAGCCUGGAAGGUCUCGUUACCUUUCUGCAUAAACUGGCUGAUAUGCUCCUGCAAGU